GUUGAACGCUGGCGGCGUGCCUAAUACAUGCAAGUCGAGCGAAUGUACGAGGAGAUUUCCCCCCUAACGUUAGCGGGGGUUGGGUGAGUAAUAAGAGAAUAUCCUACCUUUGAGAAUGGGGUACUUUAGGGGAAUCGGCGCAAAUAACGGCUGAUACAUUGAACCGCGUGGAUCAAAUGUGCCUGCCGGAUCUGCUGCACCUUAUUGGUGGAUACGCGCCGCAUUAGCUAGUUGGUAAGGUAACGGCCUACCAAGGCUACGAUGCGUAGCCGGCCUGAGAGGAUGAUCGGCCACACUGGAACUGAGACACGGUCCAGACUCCUACGGGAGGCAGCAGUAGGGAAUAUUCGGCAAUGGGCGAAAGCUUGACGGAGCAACGCCGCGUGAGUGAUGAAGGUCUUCGGAUCGUAAAGCUCUGUUAUUAGGGAAGAACAAAUGUAUGAGUAACUAUGGACGUCUUGACGGUACCUAAUCAGAAAGCCACGGCUAACUACGUG
RNAcentral lists this ribosomal RNA (497 nucleotides) under uncultured bacterium. RNAcentral describes it as "partial 16S ribosomal RNA". It matches the Rfam family "Bacterial small subunit ribosomal RNA", at positions 28 to 507 of the family's 1533-position model. The record is from RNAcentral.